RNAcentral lists this ribosomal RNA (890 nucleotides) under uncultured Gammaproteobacteria bacterium. Its description in RNAcentral is "bacterial SSU rRNA". It matches the Rfam family "Bacterial small subunit ribosomal RNA", at positions 8 to 892 of the family's 1533-position model. The record is from RNAcentral. Lineage: Bacteria; Pseudomonadati; Pseudomonadota; Gammaproteobacteria.
AGGGUUUGAUCAUGGCUCAAAUUGAACGUUGGCGGCAGGCUUAAUACAUGCAAGUCGAACGAGAAAGUACCUUCGGGUGCGAGUACAGUGGCGGACGGGUGAGUAACGCGUAGGAAUCUACCUUGUAGUGGGGGACAACUUGGGGAAACUCAAGCUAAUACCGCAUAAUACCUAAGGGUGAAAGUGGGGGAUCUUCGGACCUCACGCUAUUAGAGGAGCCUGCGUUGGAUUAGCUAGUUGGUGAGGUAAAGGCUCACCAAGGCGACGAUCCAUAGCUGGUCUGAGAGGACGAUCAGCCACACUGGAACUGAGACACGGUCCAGACUCCUACGGGAGGCAGCAGUAGGGAAUCUUGGGCAAUGGGCGCAAGCCUGACCCAGCCAUGCCGCGUGUGUGAAGAAGGCCUUAGGGUUGUAAAGCACUUUCAGUCGUGAAGAAAUAUUCAUAGUUAAUAGCUAUGAGUCUUGACGUUAACGACAGAAGAAGAUCCGGCUAACUCCGAAUGCCAGCAGCCGCGGUAAUACGGGGGGAUCGAACGUUAAUCGGAAUUACUGGGCGUAAAGCGCGCGUAGGCGGUUUGUUAAGUGAGAUGUGAAAGCCCUGGGCUCAACCUGGGAACUGCAUUUCAAACUGGCAAGCUAGAGUAUGGUAGAGGCCGGUAGAAUUUCCUGUGUAGCGGUGAAAUGCGUAGAUAUAGGAAGGAAUACCGAUGGCGAACGCAGCCGGCUGGACCAAUACUGACGCUGAGGUGCGAAAGCGUGGGGAGCAAACAGGAUUAGAUACCCUGAUAGUCCACGCCGUAAACGAUGACAACUAGCCGUUGGACUCCUUGAGGGUUUAGUGGCGCAGCUAACGCGAUAAGUUGUCCGCCUGGGGAGUACGGCCGCAAG